This 253-nucleotide ribosomal RNA is filed under the name uncultured bacterium. RNAcentral's name for it is "partial 16S ribosomal RNA". It matches the Rfam family "Bacterial small subunit ribosomal RNA", at positions 524 to 776 of the family's 1533-position model. The record is from RNAcentral.
UACGGAGGGAGCUAGCGUUGUUCGGAAUUACUGGGCGUAAAGCGCACGUAGGCGGCUUUGUAAGUUAGAGGUGAAAGCCCGGGGCUCAACCCCGGAAUUGCCUUUAAGACUGCGUCGCUUGAAUCCGGGAGAGGUGAGUGGAAUUCCGAGUGUAGAGGUGAAAUUCGUAGAUAUUCGGAAGAACACCAGUGGCGAAGGCGGCUCACUGGACCGGCAUUGACGCUGAGGUGCGAAAGCGUGGGGAGCAAACAGG